CUGGCAUGCACUUCUUUUUAUCCUAAAUUGAAGCAGCACUUUUUCGUAUAAACAUCCUUUUGCUUGACAGUAGAAAUGAUGAACAGAGUUGUCUGCUUCUAAGGAUUCCUAUAUAAGCUCUAAAGACCUCAAUGCCGGUGAACCUCAGCAUGGAUGGGCUCUACCUGGUAUGCUGUGUCCUGACUAGAGGUCUGUCUGAUGCCGCACAACUUUUGGAGCACGACCUUAGAGCAAGAGCCAGCGACGCUCAGCCAGUGCUGAGCUCUACGUACAAGGAUCAGCCAGCAACACCAGCGCUGCGGAGUGGAGUGGAUAUUGUCUGUCUUCAACCCACCCUUCCGCCACACAUGUGGGGGUCUCUCCAGCAGAGCUGUGGAUUUGCACAGGUGGCAAAGUAGAUCUUAUAAACACCUUGGAAAAACAUAAAAUUCACAGAUCUCUCCAUAUCCUCUCGUUUUGAUGUGGUAGAAGCUGAAAAUACAUGUACUGUUCCAGUAUGAAGUAAGUAAUAAACUGUAAGCUCUUUGUGCUGAAAAUGCA
RNAcentral lists this long non-coding RNA (540 nucleotides) under Struthio camelus australis. RNAcentral's name for it is "lncRNA (ENSSCUG00000013277.1)". Lineage: Eukaryota; Metazoa; Chordata; Aves; Struthioniformes; Struthionidae. The record is from RNAcentral.